RNAcentral lists this ribosomal RNA (438 nucleotides) under uncultured bacterium. RNAcentral's name for it is "bacterial SSU rRNA". It matches the Rfam family "Bacterial small subunit ribosomal RNA", at positions 28 to 463 of the family's 1533-position model. The record is from RNAcentral.
GAUGAACGCUAGCGGCAGGCUUAAUACAUGCAAGUCGAGGGGUAACAUGGUAGCAAUACUGAUGACGACCGGCAAACGGGUGCGGAACACGUACAGAACCUUCCUUUAAGCGGGGAAUAGCCCGGAGAAAUCCGGAUUAAUACCCCAUAGUAUUGUUGGGUGGCAUCACUUAAUAAUUAAAGAUUUAUCACUUAAAGAUGGCUGUGCGGCUGAUUAGGUAGUUGGUAGGGGUAACGGCCCACCAAGCCAUCGAUCAGUAACUGGUGUGAGAGCACGACCAGUCACACGGGCACUGAGACACGGGCCCGACUCCUACGGGAGGCAGCAGUAAGGAAUAUUGGUCAAUGGACGCAAGUCUGAACCAGCCAUGCCGCGUGAAGGAUGAAGGCCCUCUGGGUUGUAAACUUCUUUUAUCUGGGACGAAACCCAUCCAUUAUU